CCGCGGUAAUACGGAGGAUCCGAGCGUUAUCCGGAUUUAUUGGGUUUAAAGGGUGCGUAGGUGGUUUGAUAAGUCAGCGGUGAAAGUUUGCAGCUUAACUGUAAAAAUGCCGUUGAAACUGUCGGACUUGAGUGUAAAUGAGGUAGGCGGAAUGCGUGGUGUAGCGGUGAAAUGCAUAGAUAUCACGCAGAACUCCGAUUGCGAAGGCAGCUUACUAAGCUACAACUGACACUGAAGCACGAAAGCGUGG
This 250-nucleotide ribosomal RNA is filed under the name uncultured bacterium. RNAcentral describes it as "partial 16S ribosomal RNA". It matches the Rfam family "Bacterial small subunit ribosomal RNA", at positions 515 to 764 of the family's 1533-position model. The record is from RNAcentral.